This 250-nucleotide long non-coding RNA is filed under the name Zostera marina. RNAcentral describes it as "long non-coding RNA (ZMAR_LNC004728)". The record is from RNAcentral. Lineage: Eukaryota; Viridiplantae; Streptophyta; Magnoliopsida; Alismatales; Zosteraceae.
CAUCUUUUUUCAGUGUGGGCCAGAAGUAUCCCUGCCUUAUUAUUCUUUGGGCCAAAGAUCUUCCCCCCUGAUGUAUUCCGCAUACUCCUUGAUGAAUCUCCUCUACAAUGAAUUGUCCUUCUUCUGUUGAGACACAUUUCUUUAGAGGUCCGUCGUAGGAUUUCUUAUACAGAAUAUCACCGAUCAGGCAGAAUCUUGAAACGCGUGUUUGUAACUUGCGUCUUUCAUUUUUAUUUUCAGGAAGUUUCUG